GUUUCAUUGGCGCUGCCAGGCGUCAGCGGUGCCUGUUGUUGGGUCUGCUGCUGACUCGCCUCAUUGUUAGCAGCUGAAGCGGCCACUUCGGACUCGUCAAACUCCCUCUUGAAUAUGGAGAGCAGGCAGCUGAUCCGUGUCCAUCACCAAUGGAUACUCCUUCAUUAACUGGGAGACGGACUUCCGCUGCUGCAGGGAGAUCGUGGGCGCAGCUAUGGCCUGGCCAACUGAUCCCAGGGCCAAAGAUGUCAUAACUGUGUUUAUAUCCCCAAUCGAGCGUAGAACUCCACCUUCGGCUGCAAGUAAUGGGGUUUAAGAAGUGUGUGGACAGCUGAGAUCUCCGGCUUCGGGACACACCACUGUGCGAUCAUCGACCAGGCUAGUGAAAGAAAUCAGAUGUUUAGUGCAGGAUUCAACAACAGUUGGCCCCCGGAGAUCCUCCAAUGGUACUUACCCG
Molecule: long non-coding RNA, 457 nt
Organism: Drosophila teissieri
Lineage: Eukaryota; Metazoa; Arthropoda; Insecta; Diptera; Drosophilidae
Exons: 3
Source: RefSeq, a predicted model, not a curated record